Molecule: ribosomal RNA, 750 nt
Filed under: uncultured Planctomycetota bacterium
Lineage: Bacteria; Pseudomonadati; Planctomycetota
Description: bacterial SSU rRNA
Rfam family: Bacterial small subunit ribosomal RNA
Source: RNAcentral
UGAGUAGCUUGCUACAAAGCGGACAGUGGCGAAAGGGAGAGUAACGUGUGGUUACGUGCCCUCGAGACCGGGAUAGCGUCGGGAAACUGGCAGUAAUACCGGAUAACAUCUACGGAUCAAAUGGUGAGAUUCCGCUCGAGGAUUGGACCGCAUACUAUUAGCUUGUUGGUGAGGUAAUGGCUCACCAAGGCUGCGAUGGUUACCGGGUGUGAGAGCAUGGCCCGGCUCACUGGGACUGAGACACUGCCCAGACACCUACGGGUGGCUGCAGUCGAGAAUCUUCGGCAAUGGACGAAAGUCUGACCGAGCGAUGCCGCGUGCGGGAUGAAGGCCCUCGGGUUGUAAACCGCUGUCAGUUGUUAGGAAAUGCAUGGUGGUUAUCCAUUAUGUUUGACCGACCUUCAGAGGAAGGACGGGCUAAGUACGUGCCAGCAGCCGCGGUAACACGUACCGUCCAAACGUUAUUCGGUAUCACUGGGCUUAAAGCGUUCGUAGGCGGCCUAGAAGGUGAGAUGUGAAAGCCCACGGCUCAACCGUGGAAUUGCGUUUCAAACUACUAGGCUUGAGGAAGACAGGGGUGAUGGGAACUUAUGGUGGAGCGGUGAAAUGCGUUGAUAUCAUAGGGAACACCGGUGGCGAAAGCGCAUCACUGGGUCUUUUCUGACGCUGAGGAACGAAAGCUAGGGUAGCGAACGGGAUUAGAUACCCCGGUAGUCCUAGCCGUAAACGAUGAGCACUAGGCUGAGGGAC